UCAGUCAACCUAAAGAACUAUUUAUAACCAAAUCCCUAAUGGAAGUUUAGCAGUUGCUAGACUGCUAUUCAAGAGUACAACGGACUAUACAACGGUCAACCAUUUAUUGGUCAGUGAUGAAGGAAACGGGUUACCUAUGAAUAAGAGAUACAAAUAAAUAGGAUAGUUCUUUU
The submitters of this non-coding RNA (173 nucleotides) gave its source as unclassified sequences. The record is from Rfam.